This is a long non-coding RNA of Cydia pomonella (codling moth), 302 nucleotides long. RefSeq lists it as uncharacterized. The transcript has 2 exons. NCBI's taxonomy places the organism in Eukaryota, Metazoa, Arthropoda, Insecta, Lepidoptera, Tortricidae. The record is from RefSeq and is a predicted model, not a curated record.
CCCCCCCUCGAUGAGCUCUGGCAACCUUACUCACCGGCAGGAACACAACACUAUGAGUAGGGUCUAGUGUUAUUUGGCUGCGGUUUUCUGUAAGGUGGAGGUACUUCCCCAGUUGGGCUCUGCUCUAGAUCUGGAAUGAAAUGUAAAAUAACUUUGCUCUCGUGUGACACAUACAACUUUUCACCUACUGAGGUGACAAAUACGAGAGUAUGAGAGUGAAAAGACAGUAACAGAACAUUUUGAGUUGUUUCCUCAUGUUGGCUGGUGGGAGUUAUGAUUUUGAAUAAAUAUUUAAUAGCAUU